RNAcentral lists this ribosomal RNA (482 nucleotides) under uncultured bacterium. RNAcentral describes it as "partial 16S ribosomal RNA". It matches the Rfam family "Bacterial small subunit ribosomal RNA", at positions 30 to 507 of the family's 1533-position model. The record is from RNAcentral.
AUUGAACGCUGGCGGCAUGCUUUACACAUGCAAGUCGAACGGUAACAGCACUUCGGUGGCUGACGAGUGGCGAACGGGUGAGUAAUACAUCGGAACGUGCCUAGUAGUGGGGGAUAACUACUCGAAAGAGUAGCUAAUACCGCAUGAGAUCUAAGGAUGAAAGCAGGUGACCUUCGGGCCUUGCGCUACUAGAGCGGCUGAUGGCAGAUUAGGUAGUUGGUGGGAUAAAAGCUUACCAAGCCGACGAUCUGUAGCUGGUCUGAGAGGACGACCAGCCACACUGGGACUGAGACACGGCCCAGACUCCUACGGGAGGCAGCAGUGGGGAAUUUUGGACAAUGGGCGCAAGCCUGAUCCAGCAAUGCCGCGUGCAGGAUGAAGGCCUUCGUGUUGUAAACUGCUUUUGUACGGAACGAAAAGCCCUCUUCUAAUACAGGAGGGUCAUGACGGUACCGUAAGAAUAAGCACCGGCUAACUACGUG